This 72-nucleotide transfer RNA is filed under the name Rhipicephalus sanguineus (brown dog tick). RNAcentral describes it as "transfer RNA threonine (anticodon CGU)". It matches the Rfam family "tRNA". Rfam says of the family: Transfer RNA (tRNA) molecules are approximately 80 nucleotides in length. Their secondary structure includes four short double-helical elements and three loops (D, anti-codon, and T loops). Lineage: Eukaryota; Metazoa; Arthropoda; Arachnida; Ixodida; Ixodidae. The record is from Rfam by way of RNAcentral.
GCCGCUAUAGCUCAGUGGUAGAGCACUGGUCUCGUAAACCAGGGGUCGUGAGUUAAAACCUCACUGGUGGCA